UAAGUGUUCUCUAGAGAGGCGACACGAAUUUUAAACAAGAACUUAAACCGCCUAUUAAAUGACUAAAGUGUGUUAAGUUGAAUUAAAUGUAAGACAGAUCUUGCCAACACUAUUGAAUAUGCCUAGUGAUUCGAAUUUAUAUGACCAUUUUUACAUAAACGCAUGUCUAUUGCAGAAUUCGAUCCGGCAUAACCUGUCGCUGCACAACCGGUUCAUGCGGGUGCAGAACGAGGGCACGGGCAAAUCGUCCUGGUGGAUGAUCAACCCAGAUGCCAAGCCGGGCAAGUCUGUCCGGAGACGGGCGGCGUCCAUGGAGACGUCGAAGUUUGAGAAGAGAAGAGGGAGGGUGAAGAAGAAGGCGGAGGCAUUAAGAAAUGGCGCCACAGCUGACGCCACUCCCAGCCCCAGCAGUUCCAUCUCUGAAAGUCUCGACAUAUUCCCAGAAUCACCAAUGCACAGCAGCAAUUUCCAGCUGUCGCCAGCGAACGCAGACACGUUCCGGCAGCGCGCGUCGUCCAACGCGUCGUCCGUCGGACGCCUGUCGCCGAUCCCGUCGCUCAUCGCUCAGGAGCCGGACUGGGUGGACUACGCGGCGAAUACCGACUACGGGACGGACUAUACGAACACGGAUUUCCAAGAAUAUGCUCCGGCGGCCGAGCUGGCGGGGUCGCUGGCUGACUCGAUGAAGUUGCAGGGAGCCGAUCCAUUCCUAAACACGUACGUGCCAACAACGUCAUCAUCAUCGACCGGCUACCGCUACUCGUACUCGUGCCCGCAGCACCUGCACGGCGGCUGCGCGUGCGCGUCGAUGUUCAGCCAUCCCGCGCACCCGGCGCAUCCCACGCAUCCGCAUGCGCUCGACCACUUCGUCAGGCCGCCGCCGCCCGCUGAUCCUGCUGAUAUUAUGCAUACAGAAAACAGCCAAACGCAGAUGGUAACGACGUCGGACGCGGCGUUGAUGAACGGUGGUAUGAUGGUGCAGACGGCCAUGCCCACCACCGUUAUGGGGCAGAUCAUGGGCGCGCUUAACACGGGGCUCGUUGAGGACCUCAACCUCAACAUUGAGUCACUGGAGCACAGCUUUGACUGUGAUGUUAAUGAGGUGAUAAAGCACGAGCUCAGCAUGGACGGCUCGUUGGACUUCAACUUCCCGCAGCAGCAGCAGGCCAUGGCGGCCGAGGCCGACAGCCAGUUCGCGGCGCCCGCGCCGCCCGUGCCCACCACGCUGUCCGGCGGCGGCGCGCCCCGCACGCCCUACUCCGCGACCCCCUCCUGGGUCCACUGAAAACCUCAAAAACGACUACACGGACAGUUACCUACUUAUUGACUACCAGAGGUUGUUAUCUGAGUUAAUUUCCUAUUAAGUUCGAUUUUUGUUACUUCGGCAUUAAAGUCAAGAUUUUUUGUUCUAUUGUCAUGUUAACUAAUGUUAGAAUUUUAUUGUUUAGUGUAAUAAGUGGACCGUUACCGCUCGUUGUUGAAGUGUCAAUUGUAUUAGUGGUAGUAGGCUUUAGUGUUAAGCUAGGUGGAAGCUUGUGAUAUAGAUAGGGUAUUGUAAUCCGGGUAGUCGCUUGGACCAGGAGGGGACGCAGGUUCGAUCCUGUAUCGUCGACACCGACACCAAACAGAGGUUGCAACGCUUUUAGGAUUGGAAAACUUCUGUAGCGGUAAAUUAAAGUGACGAGCUUUAUAUCAGCAUUUCCAAAUUCACUGUUCAUCACAAAUGAACCGCGCAACAGGAAACCUACUCUAGAGACUGAAACCAGUGUUCUUAAACAAAAUCUGUUAGUAACAAAAACAAUCUGGUGCGACAUAAUGUUAAAUUUCGAGUGAUAUUUUGGACGAAGUUAGUUAAGAUUUAUCGACCUCGCGUAGCGUGUAGUGGACAAUCAGGCCAAUUCAAACGUGCACUGACAUCUAACCGAUAGUAGAAUGAUAUGAGUUAGCUGUAAUUCGCGCUGGCGUCUCACUCGCACUAAUACUUGUGUGGACAAGUCUGAGCGAUAUGAACGCGCGAAUGACGACUAACUAAUAUGAUUCCAUUAUAAUUCUAAUAUCGGUUUGAUCUCAGUGCACGUUCGAAUUGGCCUGUACUGUAUAUGCCGAGUUGAUUUCUCAUCGUUUUAGUAACGUCACCGCUCUGUCCCCUCCGAACACCUAAAUCUAUUAAUAGGUAUAUUCAAGUACCUCUGAAGAACGGGUAAGUGUGUCUGAAUUUAUUUCGGAUGUAGAAAAUGUCUCGUUUUGCGAUAAUGCCGUUUACAUAGUACUUAUGUCGCGAUGUCUGUCCGUAACCAUAGCUGUAACUCAGUCUUAUAAAUAGGAUUAUUGGUUUGGCCUGUAAAUUUUGGUUGCAUGUAAAAUAAAAUAUUGCCUCAAAAUUAAGAUGCUGAUACUUUUGCAUCUGUGAUGAUUUGUUUUGUGGGCCAAAAUUUGUAGAUGUAGGUAUAGAACCAAUAUUAAAGAUAUAUAUUACUGAUUGAUUCCAAAGUGAAACUGCAUGAUUCUUUGUAAUAAAUUCUCCUUUACAAUAUUGUAACGUAGGUACAACUAGUAAAUUCUAGUAUAAAGUGUACCAAUGUUUGUGUAUACAUAAAUGUUUUCUGCAAGAACUGGCACCAAUUAGAUAGUAAUUAUUUGUAAUACGCCAUAUUAUUUGUGUUAUUUAUUAUUUACUAAGAACCUGUACCUCUGAGCCAUAACGUACCUACCAAAAAUAUAUACAAAUAUUGCUCAACCUACUUGACGCCAAAUAUAGAUCGAAAUCUAUUAUUACGAUUAUAAUCCAUUGUUUUUUCAGUGAAUUUCCGCAGGCAUUAUGAUUAAAUCACAUAAGUACUUCUUUUGCAUUUUUAUAUAGGACUUGCACUAAUUUUAUUGGUACGAUGGUAAGAGAUAAUUAUUGCUCCGAUAAUUGUGCCUAUUGACAUGAAAUGUUGAAGAUUUAACAAAGUUUAGUAGCAACGCGUUUAAGAAAUAAAACAAACCAUAAAAAAAGUGCUCGCUGAAAAGUUGACGCACAAACCAAACCCGUUUUAGUCAGAUCUCUAGUCCCAGAUAUUAAUUUCGUCAUCUAAGUACAGGAUUUACUCAUUAUUUUAGCUAUAUCGAGUGUUAGCAUAUAAUCGCUAUGAAAACAAAAAAGUUCAUUCUGCGAAUUACCUCAAUGGACUAUUUGUGAUAGAUGUAGCCAAUAAGUGUUCAAUUUAAUAUGUGUAUCAUGUAAGGUCAAUUCUUGUACUUUUGGCGUCCAUUUUUAUAUAUAUUUUAAAAAACAUUCGUUUCGCUUCGGCCAUUGAUCAAUUCGGUUACGCAAGUUAUUUUAUUUUUACAUUAUAAUUAUAUUCACUGCUUCUAUACUUAUCUACGUAUAUUUGCAGCUGAAAUUGGUGCUAUAGAUACCUUGUUCGUUUGUGACUAAAUAAAAUUUCGUUAUUUUCGGGUUACGUUUAGAAAUAUAAUGUACAAAAUGAGCUCGCAUUUGAACCACCAGGAGGUGAACAAUUUUAUAUUAUUUCUAUCUUGUAGUUACGGAUUAGUUAUAUUAAUUGUGGCUAAAAGUCAAUCAGUUACUAUGAGUGGUUUGCGGAUGUUCGACAUCGAUUUUAACGUAGGUGUUGGGAAUUAGUAAUCUGCCAAAUAUAAAAUACGUAAUCUUGAGCCAUUUAGAAAGAUCCUAAUGUGUAUAGAUGACGUACCUAAAUUUUAGGCAUAAUUCGCGAUUACACUGCUGCCGAGCGAAUACCAGUUUUGAUUACGG
This is an RNA transcript of Cydia pomonella (codling moth), 3760 nucleotides long. It is a transcript of the gene named forkhead box protein O-like, with no coding region annotated. Lineage: Eukaryota; Metazoa; Arthropoda; Insecta; Lepidoptera; Tortricidae. The transcript has 7 exons. The record is from RefSeq and is a predicted model, not a curated record.